This 74-nucleotide transfer RNA is filed under the name Octopus bimaculoides (California two-spot octopus). RNAcentral's name for it is "transfer RNA asparagine (anticodon GUU)". It matches the Rfam family "tRNA". From Rfam's summary of the family: Transfer RNA (tRNA) molecules are approximately 80 nucleotides in length. Their secondary structure includes four short double-helical elements and three loops (D, anti-codon, and T loops). The record is from RNAcentral. Lineage: Eukaryota; Metazoa; Mollusca; Cephalopoda; Octopoda; Octopodidae.
GUCUCUGUGGCGCAAUCUGUUAGCGCGUUCGGCUGUUAACCGAAAGGUUGGUGGUCCGAGCCCACCCAGGGAUG